RNAcentral lists this ribosomal RNA (492 nucleotides) under uncultured bacterium. Its description in RNAcentral is "partial 16S ribosomal RNA". It matches the Rfam family "Bacterial small subunit ribosomal RNA", at positions 29 to 507 of the family's 1533-position model. The record is from RNAcentral.
AGUGAACGCUGGCGGUAGGCCUAACACAUGCAAGUCGAACGGCAGCACAGUAAGAGCUUGCUCUUACGGGUGGCGAGUGGCGGACGGGUGAGGAAUACAUCGGAAUCUACUUUUUCGUGGGGGAUAACGUAGGGAAACUUACGCUAAUACCGCAUACGACCUACGGGUGAAAGCAGGGGAUCUUCGGACCUUGCGCGAUUGAAUGAGCCGGUGUCGGAUUAGCUAGUUGGCGGGGUAAAGGCCCACCAAGGCGACGAUCCGUAGCUGGUCUGAGAGGAUGGGCAGCCACACUGGAACUGAGACACGGUCCAGACUCCUACGGGAGGCAGCAGUGGGGAAUAUUGGACAAUGGGCGCAAGCCUGAUCCAGCCAUACCGCGUGGGUGAAGAAGGCCUUCGGGUUGUAAAGCCCUUUUGUUGGGAAAGAAAAGCAGCAGGUUAAUACCCCGCUGUUCUGACGGUACCCAAAGAAUAAGCACCGGCUAACUUCGUG